CCUACGGGAGGCAGCAGUGGGGAAUAUUGGACAAUGGGGGGAACCCUGAUCCAGCGACGCCGCGUGAGUGAAGAAGUAUUUCGGUAUGUAAAGCUCUAUCAGCAGGGAAGAAAGAAAUGACGGUACCUGACUAAGAAGCCCCGGCUAACUACGUGCCAGCAGCCGCGGUAAUACGUAGGGGGCAAGCGUUAUCCGGAUUUACUGGGUGGAAAGGGAGCGUAGACGGCGAUGCAAGUCUGAAGUGAAAGGCGGGGGCCCAACCUCCGGACUGCUUUGGAAACUGUAUGGCUGGAGUGCAGGAGAGGUAAGUGGAAUUCCUAGUGUAGCGGUGAAAUGCGUAGAGAUUAGGAGGAACACCAGUGGCGAAGGCGGCUUACUGGACUGUAACUGACGUUGAGGCUCGAAAGCGUGGGGAGCAAACAGGAUUAGAUACCCGAGUAGUC
This 443-nucleotide ribosomal RNA is filed under the name uncultured bacterium. RNAcentral describes it as "partial 16S ribosomal RNA". It matches the Rfam family "Bacterial small subunit ribosomal RNA", at positions 338 to 795 of the family's 1533-position model. The record is from RNAcentral.